Carassius auratus (goldfish) is the source of this 661-nucleotide long non-coding RNA. RefSeq lists it as uncharacterized. The record is from RefSeq and is a predicted model, not a curated record. The transcript is spliced from 4 exons. Lineage: Eukaryota; Metazoa; Chordata; Actinopteri; Cypriniformes; Cyprinidae.
GGGGGACAAUCGUCCUCGGGCCCGGUUCAUGGCAACCGUGCCUAGUAAAUGGUUUAUUCUCUUUCUGAAUCAGUGAAACCCUAUUUUACACACACCGUCUCCAUUUGUGCAGAUUUCCUGCAGAUGCAGCAGAUCAUGACUGUAAUUAUAAUCAAUGAAUAUUCAGCAGCAGCUGCAGCAGAUUUUAGCACUAUAAGAUAAUCUGGAAGAACUGAAGGACAAUAAAAGACAGACAGUCAUGGAUGUUACAGUCAGCCGGAUCCAGACCAGAUGGUGGACCUGCACCUAUACACAACCUCAUGAAGAUCCCAUGUGAAGACCUCGUUGACAUGUCAGCCAUUGGAACAUAUCCUCAGAAAAGACCACAAGAACCAGACAAGCUGCACAGUCUCCAUACCAUUGUGAUGAAUGCAAUCUUUAAGCAGAAGGAACGGGAUGAGAUAUUCUGAAUGCUACCGAUUUCAAUCUGACUUUUGUUGUGGGCUAAAUCAUAAUCAUACAGCGUUGGCAUCUUGAACUUGAGUGAUUUUUGCAAUAAGGGGAAGACUAUUUCCACAACAGCUUCAGCAGAUCAACACCCAAAAGCCAUCAUCUUCCUGUUAUCACUGUAAAGCUGCUUAAAAAUAAUCUGUAUUGUAUGAAGUGCUAAAUAAAAUUGACU